GCCCCGAGCGGCCUCCAGCCCGGAGAGGCGCCGCCCACCAGUCGACCCUCCCUCGGCGAACUCAGCGCCACCCCCAGGACUGGGGCGCGGACCCGAGCUGCGGACGGAAGGGACCCGCUCUCUCUUGUCGGAUUAGCGGGUGGGGGGAUGCUGGGCCCUCGCCUGACCCCCGCCACUCCGAGUUGGCUAAGCAGGGAUGGGGGAAUGGAACAGAGCCGAGACAUCCCCACCCCCGGGCCGCGGAGUUGGAUGUGGCGGUGGAAUGGGGGACGGCGACUCGGCCCAGGAGUCCAGGUUAUUUAAACGUUAAGUUGAGCUGGGAGACCGUCCCUCCCUCCCCAGACCGCACUCUCAACUCAGGCGCGAGCGUGCAGGUACAACACUGCGGACACAGCUGCCGCGCCUUUACCUGGCCGGGCGCUCACCUGACGGGGCGGUGCGCCGGCCUCUCACCCCACUUCCUGGGGAGGCCACCGCCUCCCCACUCACCCUUGGGCGCGUUCGCGGCGCUGGGACCCGCCUGCACCGCCCAGGGCUGGUGGUUUGCGAGGUGACUGAUGGGUGGAGGUAGGAAAGGAGGAAGCAGGUGUUGGUUUUUUUGUUUUUUUGUUUUUUUUUUAAAGCAAGUCUGCUCCUGCCCUCGGCCGGGCGCCCCACCCCCACCCCUCGGUCCCUCCCUGGUCCCCUGAGCGCCCCCUGCGGAUUCCCGGUCGUACCGCCCGGGUGGAGCCCAUUUCGGGGACCCGCUCCUGCAAGCAUCGGGAUGCGGAGGCCCUGUCCAGAGAAUCCUGCCUACUGGGUGCUUUCAUUCCCGGCUUUCCGGAGAACUUUCCCAAAGAAACACCGGCUGUCGUCGUCCUGACCGCCAGGUUGCGGAGGGGUGGCCCACCUCUGCUUAGAGCCCCAGAGCUACUGCCUGAGGCCUGGCUCUGGGGAGGGUAAAGCCGAACUGGUGAGGGUGCCUCUCAUCGACGGCGGCUCUACCAGUGCCCCCCACCCCGGAGUUUUGCCCUGGAACCAUGCCUCUCUGGCGCCCAAAUGAAUCCGAUCUCUGCCAGACCACAGAAAACCUGAAUUCUAAACCUAGAGGGAAAAACAGCCCGCAGCCUCCCCCAGUCUUGGAUUGUUUUGAGUUCCAAGAGAAGCCUGGUCAGGGAUCCCCGUCUCCACCGCCCUCCCCCGCCCCCCGCCAGGUCCCCCUGCAGUUCUUUGAAGUUCAAAUCCUGAGAAAAGCCAAUAGGCGGCUGGCCGGGUGUCAGACAAUCCAGCUGAGGACAGAAGGCGCCUCCUACUGGGAAUCUGCUGUGUCCAGGACAGAAAUUAGACACCCUGGUGGGACCGCAGUCAAGUUCACUGCCGAACUGCCAAGUGCAUGGGUACACAUCAUCCAAAGGUAUGUAUACCGAUGUCAUCCCACGUGGGUGUUUCCUCCCACUGUUGCUUUUUAACUUGGUGUCCACAAAUAGGCAAAUUUGGGGCUGACCUGUGAUUUGGGGAUGAGGAAAGCAUUGAGGGAAACAGGGAUGAGUCUUCAUGAAUAUAACAAUAACAGCUUAUUCCUCACAUCCUGGCAAUGGACCCAUCAUCAGGUUGCUACUCACUUCCCAGCCCAUUGAAUCCUUAUAAAACAAAAACCCCAGGGAUGUUCUUUGGCUACACCCACUUAAUAGAAGAGAAAGCUGAGGCUUUGGAAAGUGAGGUCAUCAUUUGCCCAAGGUCAUACGGCCGGGAAGUAUCAGCAAUUAGACCCCAGUUGGUUGGCUCCAGGGCCUGUGCUGUCCCAUCUUUGGAAGAAUUCCUUGUCGCUCUGCAUAUACUCUCUCCCCCGAGACAAGGUUCCCUGCUUCUCCCUCUCUUUCAGGAAGGGAAGUCACUUUUAUCUCACUCUACACAGUGACAUAAUUUUUUUACAAGUCUGCCUCCUGCUCUCCUUGAGGUUAGGGACCCCUUCUCCUGGCUCCCUGCAGGUGCUUCAUAAAUACUUGUUGGUUAAAUGAAAGCCCCGAAGAGUAACAUUAUCUUAUUGAAGGGGGAGAACUGUUUGGCAGGCAGGUGGCUAAACAAGUUCACGUUGGAGAGCUGUGUGUAUUCCAUCACAACAUUUAGACACCGAAUUUGGGAACCUUCCAGUCUCUAAAUGGUUGAUGAGAAACAGUCAUGUAGCUCUCAGAUAAGACCCAGAAUCUGGCUUUCCUUUCACUCUGCAAGACCAACUUCAGAGAGGCCCGGACUGGGGAUAAUCAUUUCAGACAGCGGCUCUAGCUCCCACCUGGAGGCAAAGAGCUUCAGUAUUUUUCCAUGCCAAGAUCCAACUCCAGAUCCACCCUGCUCUGCCACAAGUCUAACUGGGCAGGUCUCGUCUAUCUCAGCAAAUCAUCUUCAGAGUGUUUCCCUUUAGGCAGGCUCGCCCUGGCUAAUCUGGGAAGAGGCUGGAGAAAUUCCCAUCGGAAGUGGAGCCACAGGCAAAACUGGAAACGGACAGAGGCGGUGUGUUUCUCCCUCUCCCUCCACCAUGGUGCUUCCUAACUGGUCUCCUGCUUCCAGGCUGUCCCCCUGGAAUGCAUUCUCCAUGCCACACAGUCAGCGUUGUGACGCAGAGACCUGAGCCACGGUUCCCUGCGGACCGCAGCAUUGAGUCUGACACAGGACUUCGUGACUGGGUGGGACCCUCUGAUGUGCCCAGCCUUGUUACUCAUGGCUCCCUCAGGCUCCAGGCCCUGUCACUCUGCCGUGGUCCCUUUUCCAUCAGGGAUCAAACGUUUCCCAGAAGCUCCCCGUAAACUUCCUUGAUAGCUCCCUUGUUGGAACUGGGUCACAUGCUCAUUCCAAAACCCAUGACCAAAACCCGUGACUGGUAUAGACCCUCAGGAGUCCCUGGGGUUAGCACAGAUAUCCGAAUCAGAUGGAGGCUCUGCCAAUAGGAGGAAGAGGCUGGUGCACCCAGCAGGCACCUAGAGGCCCCGCCCCCACCCCAGGUGCAGGGAGCCCGCCAGGUUCCACUGAGGCAGGAAGCCAGCUGCAGAGAGAACUCAAGAGGGAAGCUCCCUGGUUUGCUGUCCGCCUUCCUUCCUUCUUAGUCCUGAGCAGCAUUCCUGUUUUUCCAAUGAGUUUCCUUUCUUCCUUAAACUAGUUUGGUAGGUUUCCAUUUCUUGCAAUGAAAGGCUCUUGAGAGAAACCCUCUGAGGCUCUUGCCAGCGGCUGGGAGAAGUGCCAGAGGCCGGGCAUAGGCGUCCUGAUCCUCUCCUGGUGAAGCGACUGCAUUGAAACCCCCGGCAGCAAACACCGGGGCCCCAUGUGACUUGGAUUCCAGGAAACCCAUUCACUUCCAGGCUAGCCGGUGGAUCUUCUUAUUUCAGGAGUAAACCAGAUUCAGCAGAAAAGCAGAGAUAACGUUUUUGACUUUGAAGAAUCAACACUUUGGGGUUGUAAGAACCUGAGCUCUGAGUUUCAAAAGUGGGAGCCCUGGGCAUAAAAUUUAUGUCACUAACAAAAGGUCUGGGGCUAAACAAGGUCCAACAACCACUUGGCCAGACCCAGUUACCAUCAGGUAUUUCUGAGCGAGGGGGGUCCCUGCAGAGGGGAAGAGGAGAGGGGAAAGGGGUACAAUGAUGUGGAUCUCCAGAGAGGGGAGUGGUGGCCAGUGCAAUGGCCCCGUGCCAGUCUGAGAGUGGGUGUGGGCAGGGGGGAGCCCCAGAGAGUGUCUGCCCCCACCCAGGAUGGUACGGGAGGGGAUGGUCGCAUGGGGGGUGACAGCCCUGCAGCAAUUUGCCUGACCAUGCCAAUGUCCCCUGUAUGCCUCAGAGGAAGGCAGAAGAAGCUGAGAGAAGAAAGAGGGAGAAGCUGGGCGAAGAGAGGGCGUCCAGGAGGCGAGGAGGGCACGUCUGCCAUCCGGAAGACAGAAAUGAGGCCAUGUUGGCAGGUGCCAGAGAACACCAGAUUGCUGCUGGCCCCUGCCCAGGUCUUGGCACUUUGUGAACUCCCUUCACCAAAAAAAAAAAAAAAGAAAGAAAGAAAGA
Molecule: long non-coding RNA, 4016 nt
Organism: Mustela erminea (ermine)
Lineage: Eukaryota; Metazoa; Chordata; Mammalia; Carnivora; Mustelidae
Exons: 3
Source: RefSeq, a predicted model, not a curated record